UAGGGAAUAUUGCAAAAUGGGCGAAAGCCUGAUGCAGCAACGCCGCGUGUGCGAUGAAGGCCUUCGGGUCGUAAAGCACUUUUCGAUGGGAUGAGGAAGGACAGUACCAUCGGAAUAAGCCUCGGCUAACUACGUGCCAGCAGCCGCGGUAAAACGUAGGAGGCGAGCGUUAUCCGGAUUUACUGGGUGUAAAGCGCGUGCAGGCGGAACGGAAAGUUGGAUGUAAAAGCUCCCGGCUUAACUGGGAGAGGUCGUUCAAAACUACCGAUCUAGAGUACAGUAGAGGGAAGUGGAAUUCCGGGUGUAGUGGUGAAAUGCGUAGAUAUCCGGAGGAACACCAGUGGCGAAAGCGGCUUUCUGGACUGAAACUGACGCUCAGACGCGAAAGCUAGGGUAGCAA
RNAcentral lists this ribosomal RNA (400 nucleotides) under uncultured bacterium. RNAcentral describes it as "bacterial SSU rRNA". It matches the Rfam family "Bacterial small subunit ribosomal RNA", at positions 355 to 771 of the family's 1533-position model. The record is from RNAcentral.